Molecule: ribosomal RNA, 400 nt
Filed under: Escherichia coli
Lineage: Bacteria; Pseudomonadati; Pseudomonadota; Gammaproteobacteria; Enterobacterales; Enterobacteriaceae
Description: bacterial SSU rRNA
Rfam family: Bacterial small subunit ribosomal RNA
Source: RNAcentral
AAAUUGAAGAGUUUGAUCAUGGCUCAGAUUGAACGCUGGCGGCAGGCCUAACACAUGCAAGUCGAACGGUAACAGGAAGCAGCUUGCUGCUUCGCUGACGAGUGGCGGACGGGUGAGUAAUGUCUGGGAAGCUGCCUGAUGGAGGGGGAUAACUACUGGAAACGGUAGCUAAUACCGCAUAACGUCGCAAGACCAAAGAGGGGGACCUUCGGGCCUCUUGCCAUCGGAUGUGCCCAGAUGGGAUUAGCUUGUUGGUGGGGUAACGGCUCACCAAGGCGACGAUCCCUAGCUGGUCUGAGAGGAUGACCAGCCACACUGGAACUGAGACACGGUCCAGACUCCUACGGGAGGCAGCAGUGGGGAAUAUUGCACAAUGGGCGCAAGCCUGAUGCAGCCAUGC